This is a long non-coding RNA of Xyrauchen texanus (razorback sucker), 931 nucleotides long. RefSeq lists it as uncharacterized. Lineage: Eukaryota; Metazoa; Chordata; Actinopteri; Cypriniformes; Catostomidae. The transcript is spliced from 3 exons. The record is from RefSeq and is a predicted model, not a curated record.
AGAAGAAGAAGAGAGCAGAUGGUUGUUGCUGCUCCGGGAGACUUUAAGCUCUAAAUCCAGCGAAAACUGAUAUUCAGAGAGAAGCCGUGUGUGUGAGAUUGACGUUUUGGAACAUUGUCAUCUGGAAUUUUCCUGUUCUCCAGAUGCACAUUGUAUGCGAGUUCCUUGGCCAGGUUUUUUUUUUGUUUUUGUUUUUUUUGUUUUUCUUUGAUGUGUUUUAUUUCCAUGUGAAUGCUGGAACAUCCGUCUGAGUGCGAUCCAUCCUGUGGUAUUCGAGUGAACUGCAAGUCAAUCCUGGAAUGUGAACCGUCUCAACUCCUCUUUGGAUGUCUUACAGUGGAGUUGGACUGGCGAGCCACCCAAGAACUGUCACGAACCCCUUUCCUCUGCCCCAUCUCCGCUUCCUCGAGCACGCACCCAUACACUCCGCGAGCGUGCUCGCUUCCCGCUCCCUCGCUCCGCCCCCUUGAGCGCGUACGCUCUUUUUCCUCCCUCGAGCACUCACGCUCCUUAUGCUAUUGCGAGCUCUGCUCGUAAGCUAUCUCCCCCCCCUCUGGCGCACUCGCUUCCCCCAGAACAUUAUGACCACCUACACUCACGCGCAUCCUAUCCCCACACAUUAGAUUCACCUGUACUCGUCUCGUCACCUUCAUUGUUCACACCUGCACCUUCCCCUAUAAAUACCCAGCACUUCCGUUUCACGGGUGUUGGUUAUUGUAUGUAUUUAGAUUCCCGUGUUUAUGCCCCCGCUAGUCUCGUCUAGUUUUGCCCCUGCUAGUCUCGUCUAGUUUUGACCUCCCCACUGUUUGAUUACCUGUUUAGCUUGCCAACUCUCUCGUUCCCCUGUCUUUGUUCCCGCUAGUCUCGUCUUGUCCUUCGCCCUAGUUGUUAACUGUUUUCCCCACUUAUCGUUCACCUCCCUCAUUAGAUC